Molecule: non-coding RNA, 72 nt
Filed under: Asanoa hainanensis
Lineage: Bacteria; Bacillati; Actinomycetota; Actinomycetes; Micromonosporales; Micromonosporaceae
Source: RNAcentral
UUGGCGGCGCCACCCCGCGCCGACCCCGGACGAGUGGCGCUCCGUACCCGGUCGAGCAAAGACGGCAGCGCA